Trichoplusia ni (cabbage looper) is the source of this 1794-nucleotide long non-coding RNA. RefSeq lists it as uncharacterized. The transcript is spliced from 3 exons. The record is from RefSeq and is a predicted model, not a curated record. NCBI's taxonomy places the organism in Eukaryota, Metazoa, Arthropoda, Insecta, Lepidoptera, Noctuidae.
AUAUUUGAGCAAAACACUGAUGUUCAUUCGAUGAAUUUUGUAAAGAUUCAGCACAUUCACAGCGAUUGACAAAGUACGGACACUAGGUUUAGAUGACGAAAUAAAAAGAAUAUUCAGCAUUUUCUUUUUAUAAAAAGCAACAAGUUCGCGAUAUGCAACACGUGAGAAAAAAGCCUUGCUUUACGGAAACCAUUAUCGCUGACUGUUACGAAUUACAAUUGCUAAUGACACAAAUUCACGUUAACAAUUAUUUAUUCUCCGCAGUUUCUUUGGGGUGUUUGUUCUAAGUAUUUCCCUAGUGCAUACUAUCGUUGUAUACUCUUACAACAUGUUUGGCGUUUCCAUGGAAACUGAAUAAUUUGACUAACAAUUACGAGAAGUUGCAGUGGUUAGUUGAAUUAUUUCAAGCAAAAAUACACAUUUAGAUUGAAGUAAAUCACUUAUUUAUGUCAUAACCUAUUUUAGUAGCCACGAUUUUCUCACUUUAAAUAGGCCCAGAAGGUAUAAUGAGGCGAGAACUAAAUGUGCCCAUAAAUAUGACUAAAAGUCAAACCAGUCCGAAGUAUUUAUAAGCAGGUUAAUGAAGAAACUCUUAAACAUAAAAAAAACUGAAUUAGGGAGAAAAAUGUUUACAACUGUCAUUUAAUAGAGAUGAAGAACUUAUUUUAAAUUAUGGAAAAGUAAGAAAGGUACGUUGAAACUUGGAAAAGGCUGAGACCUUGGGCUAAAGUCCUGUCACCGACGCAGCUAUCCCUUUGUGCAAGAACUUCGUGACGCAAGUUCGCCGUACAGUGUACGAAGUGACAAGUUUACUCGACAAAAUCCAAUAGCUUUUAAAUUAUUAAUUAUAUCUGACUCUUGCUACUCUAGAUACUUAAUUGAAUAACGAUUGUAACGAUCACGUAGGUUUUGUUGUGACAUUUUCUGAAUUUUCUGCCUUGUUUCCAAUGCGUCCAGCUGAAAGUAGAUUUGUAGAUUUAUGUUAAGAGUUUUAGCAUGAAAUAAAUGAAAUGCUCGUUUUCAUUUUACUCAAUACACAAAGUUAAUGCACGUUUCGCCGUACUUUUUGGUAAAUCUGAUAUUUCCGUUCUGAUCAGUCUCGAUAAUAUAAUGAAUACAAAAACGCCUUGCUGCCAGUUUUUCAGGAAGGUUGCAUUGUUUCAUAUUCAUCGCCGUGAAAAUUUAUUCCAGCCAUAUUUACGAUGAGCCCAAAAAAUCAACCGUAAAUUAGUAAAUACGCGGCGUGGUGUCUCGAAACAUUUAUGAAGCACUUUCUUCACUUUAAAAAUGCAUGGGCGUUUCAAGAACAAAGACUUCUAUUUUCAUUAAAUAAGAAUGCGAGCAGAGGUUAGUUGUAACAAGAAUGUUAAAAAUAAUUUAAAAGAAGGUUGAAUGGUUUCUCUGAUCAAUUGUUCGAUUAAACCACGUAGAGUAUAUAAGGAGCAUUGUUAGGUGUGUUGAAAUAGUAAAAGGCAGUGAGAGCGAACGAAAUGGCAACAAUAUCAGCAAGGUCGAGUUAUACGAUAGUACGUGAUAAACUAGACUGUAUUGCAGUGUGUGGCUAAAUUGUACCGUAGAAAAUAAGAUCAAUCAAAAUAACAAUGCGCAAUACAUACAAAUAUGAGGAAGCAACUCGGUACGUUUGUAUUUCUUUUUGACUGUUGCCUCCUUACACUGGUAAACCUGUUUUCAUAUUUUUUCAUAUGUAUUAAUAACCUAUUUGGUGGAUAAAGGACUCUUUUUGCUCCAAGUUGUUCUCUGCUGAACCAGUAAUCACACGUCAUGGGUACUUUU